GCCCNGCUAGCUCAGUCAGUAGAGCCUGGGACUCUAAUCCCAAGGUCAUGGGUUUGAGCCCCACGUUGGGUG
This 72-nucleotide transfer RNA is filed under the name Neotoma lepida (desert woodrat). It matches the Rfam family "tRNA". Rfam says of the family: Transfer RNA (tRNA) molecules are approximately 80 nucleotides in length. Lineage: Eukaryota; Metazoa; Chordata; Mammalia; Rodentia; Cricetidae. The record is from Rfam by way of RNAcentral.